Molecule: ribosomal RNA, 494 nt
Filed under: uncultured bacterium
Lineage: Bacteria
Description: partial 16S ribosomal RNA
Rfam family: Bacterial small subunit ribosomal RNA
Source: RNAcentral
GACGAACGCUGGCGGCGUGCUUAACACAUGCAAGUCGAACGGCGAAGCGCUUUCCUUUUUGGCGGGUGUGGAUGAGUGGCGAACGGGUGAGUAACACGUUCGUAACCUGCUCUCUCGUUCUGGAUAACCGAAUGAAAGUGUGGCUAAUACGGGAUACUCUGUGUCUGUCGCAGGAUGGGUCUGGGGAAGCUAUUGCUUUGGUGGGGGCUGGGCUCGCGGACUAUCUGGUUGUUGGUGGGGUGAUCGCCUACCAAGGCGGCGAGGAGUAGCCGGCAUGGGGGGGUGAGCGACCACAGAGGGGAGGAGACGUCGCGAAGACUCCGACGGGAGGCAGCAGGGAAGAAUAGUGCACGGUGGGCGGAAGGCUGCUGCAGCACCGCCGCGUGGGAGAUGGAGGUCUGCUGGUUGAGACCUUCUUUUGGGAGUGAAGCAGAGCUGCCUAGUAUGUGGCUGGGUUGACGGUACCUGGAGAAGAAGCACCGGCUAACUACGUG